Molecule: transfer RNA, 69 nt
Filed under: Heteropsylla cubana
Lineage: Eukaryota; Metazoa; Arthropoda; Insecta; Hemiptera; Psyllidae
Description: tRNA-Asp
Source: RNAcentral
UGAGAAAUUAGUUAAAAUAAUAAUAUUGAGUUGUCAAAUCAAAGUUAAACAAUUAUUUCUUUAUCCCUC